Molecule: ribosomal RNA, 144 nt
Filed under: uncultured bacterium
Lineage: Bacteria
Description: partial 16S ribosomal RNA
Rfam family: Bacterial small subunit ribosomal RNA
Source: RNAcentral
GAUGGAGCACGCCGCGUGAGUGAAGAAGGUCUUCGGAUCGUAAAACUCUGUUGUUGGAGAGAACACGAGUGAGAGUAACUGUUCAUUCCAUGACGGUAUCUAACCAGAAAGUCACGGCUAACUACGUGCCAGCAGCCGCGGUAA